This is a non-coding RNA of Arachis ipaensis, 934 nucleotides long. Lineage: Eukaryota; Viridiplantae; Streptophyta; Magnoliopsida; Fabales; Fabaceae. The record is from RefSeq and is a predicted model, not a curated record.
UAACAAACGCCGCCUGUGUCAUUCUUCUUCUUUGACGUUCAUUUCAUGUCCCUUUGGAGGAGUGUUCAUCUGUGUUGGGAAUGUGCGAAUUUGACCCCUACUGAACCUUUUUUUUCUUAAGUGUCAUGCACGCACUACUUGCUGCUGGGAAGUAAGAGUGUUGGAAAGAUUCAAAUGAGGACUUCUAAAAUAUAUUUUCUGUAAUCAAGCUGAUUUACAAUUAAAGUAGAUUUUUAGCUAGAGAUUCAGAUAGAGUUGUUUAUAAGUUAUUGUUAUCCAAAGAAUGGAAGUAAGUUUACGAGAUAUUAGAGUUUUAAUUUUUAUAUUUUUUAAUAUAUUUUAUUUUAAAGUAAUAUCUUUUACCAUUUGUUUUUAUUUAUUUUCAGAUUAAUAUUUGUCUGAUAUUUGUUAUUGUAUAACUCACGGUCUAUUAAUAAUAGAGAACAAUUGUUAUGGGAAACGUGUUAAUACAUAUGGAGAGUUGGUCUAGUAUCUGGGUUGUUCAGAUUUUAAAGACUUUGAUAAUUUUAAUCAUUAGAAUAUGGUAUACUCGAGUGAAGGACAACUUGAUGAGGAUUCAAGCUACUAUGCUGUAUUGAUCACCUGGUAUGAUAGAGAAUAAAAAACGUUUAAUUAUUUGAAUAGUUGGGGUGGGAGUUCGGUAUAGAUGAUAUUGCGACAAUAGUAUUUGGUGCAGUUGUUCACAUAUAUGCACUAUUAUUUGAGUGGGUGUUGCCCUUAGUAAAUUUCUAUUUGGAUCCCAUCACCUGGAUCUCCAUAUCUCCCAAAUUGAAAUUAAGUACACCUCUCACUUAAAUAAUAGUGCAUAUACAUGAGCAACUGCACCAAAUACUAUCGUUGCAAUUUCAUUUUUGCCGAAGCUCCUACCCCAUCUAUUCAAAUAAUUAAACAUUUCUUUUUUUAUCGUACCCGG